CGCAGCCUUGUCAAAUUCAGUGCUUCCCCCCCUUAAUGGGUGCCACUGGCCAAAAUGGCUGCCACAGUGAAGGUGUAGUUCAUGGGCCCCAGGGUGCUUCAACACAACCGCUGGGGAUAAAUGUGUACUGCACACAAAC
RNAcentral lists this small nucleolar RNA (139 nucleotides) under Amphilophus citrinellus (Midas cichlid). RNAcentral describes it as "Small nucleolar RNA SNORA5 (ENSACIG00000022254.1)". It matches the Rfam family "Small nucleolar RNA SNORA5". Rfam says of the family: ACA5 is a member of the H/ACA class of snoRNA that guide the sites of modification of uridines to pseudouridines. Lineage: Eukaryota; Metazoa; Chordata; Actinopteri; Cichliformes; Cichlidae. The record is from RNAcentral.